AGCAUUCACCAGGGGGGUCCCGACAAGGGGCUGAGAUACUGCUGGCAUUCGCAGCGCAGUGACCCGUUGAACCUGAUCCAGUUCAUACUGGCGUAGGGACGGUGCAAGCGCUGUAGA
Shinella sp. DD12 is the source of this 117-nucleotide non-coding RNA. Lineage: Bacteria; Pseudomonadati; Pseudomonadota; Alphaproteobacteria; Hyphomicrobiales; Rhizobiaceae. The record is from Rfam.